RNAcentral lists this long non-coding RNA (526 nucleotides) under Crocodylus porosus (Australian saltwater crocodile). RNAcentral describes it as "lncRNA (ENSCPRG00005002670.1)". The record is from RNAcentral. Lineage: Eukaryota; Metazoa; Chordata; Crocodylia; Crocodylidae.
UGCUCCCAUCAUAUUGAGAGAGGAUCAACAAAGGGGCAAUCAAGUCUUUCAAGAGUUUUGAAGUAAAAGUAACUUCUUCAAAGUGAAGAUUUCUCAUAGGUGGUCAGUGUUCAGGAUACCUCGCGGUGUCCACCUUUUCACCAGUUUGAAACAAGAUCAGAAGGAGAAGGGAUUCUGUGGUGGCUUUCAACAGGAAGGGAUUGCAAGAGCAGAAAGAUGUAUUCACCUCUACUUCUCUGACAAGGAUCCUGGUGUGGUGAAUAGGAACAAAAACCAUGUGACGAUCAAGGUCUUCAAGAAAACAUACUGUAUGCUCCAGGACUAGCACCUGCAACAUGGACAAUACCCUGACGGCAUGCUUGUACACAAAGGACUGCACUGACCAGGAGAGAACGCAGGAACAACACUUCACAUUUUAAGCUUUUUGUGUCAAUUGCUGGGUCUCCAUGAAAACAACUAUGGAAAUUUCUAAAGCUUCAAACAUUUAAUGAAAUAUUUCUGCAAAUAAAUGAUUUUCCCAAAGUCA